AUUGAACGCUGGCGGCAUGCUUUACACAUGCAAGUCGAACGGUAACAGGCCUUCGGGUGCUGACGAGUGGCGAACGGGUGAGUAAUGCAUCGGAACGUACCCAGAGGUGGGGGUUAACGCAGCGAAAGCUGUGCUAAUACCGCAUGUGAUCUGAGGAUGAAAGCGGGGGACCAAGCAGCAAUGUUUGGCCUCGCGCCUUUGGAGCGGCCGAUGUCGGAUUAGCUAGUUGGUGGGGUAAAGGCCUACCAAGGCGACGAUCCGUAGCUGGUCUGAGAGGACGACCAGCCACACUGGGACUGAGACACGGCCCAGACUCCUACGGGAGGCAGCAGUGGGGAAUUUUGGACAAUGGGCGCAAGCCUGAUCCAGCAAUGCCGCGUGCGGGAAGAAGGCCUUCGGGUUGUAAACCGCUUUUGGCAGGAACGAAACGGUGUCCGCUAAUACCGGGCGCUAAUGACGGUACCUGCAGAAUAAGCACCGGCUAACUACGUG
Molecule: ribosomal RNA, 492 nt
Filed under: uncultured bacterium
Lineage: Bacteria
Description: partial 16S ribosomal RNA
Rfam family: Bacterial small subunit ribosomal RNA
Source: RNAcentral